RNAcentral lists this ribosomal RNA (232 nucleotides) under uncultured bacterium. RNAcentral's name for it is "partial 16S ribosomal RNA". It matches the Rfam family "Bacterial small subunit ribosomal RNA", at positions 99 to 334 of the family's 1533-position model. The record is from RNAcentral.
CGGACGGGUGAGUAAUGUCUGGGAAACUGCCCGAUGGAGGGGGAUAACUACUGGAAACGGUAGCUAAUACCGCAUAACGUCGCAAGACCAAAGAGGGGGACCUUUGAGCCUCUUGCCAUCGGAUGUGCCCAGAUGGGAUUAGCUAGUAGGUGGGGUAACGGCUCACCUAGGCGACGAUCCCUAGCUGGUCUGAGAGGAUGACCAGCCACACUGGAACUGAGACACGGUCCAG